ACACACACACCCACACGUUUGUCGGACAAGUCGCAAAUCCGAAAAGUAAACGGAACUAAAACCAUUUUGAGCUUUGUCAACAAGUCACAUUGGCAAGGCAAAGUGGAAAGCGACGGAUGGACGAAUGUGAGGGGGUCAGGUGCAGGGGCAGGUGUGAGGCACACUGCAAUCACAGCCAAACGAGUCAUUAACAUGUCAAUCAGAAAUAAAACCAAAAUAAAAAUAAAAGAGCAAAUAGAAAGAGGCAAAGAGUGAAAGAGGGAGAGAGGGAUAUAAAAGUAAAUUCAACGCUUUAUGCAAAUAAUAAACCGUACACUAUGAAUGGCAAUGCUGGAAAGGGACAGCGGGACCCAAAAGCAGCAAAAAAGCAAAGAAACUGAGAAAAAAAAUUAUAUGUGGAGAAAGAAACACAAUGUGUCCUACUUUUUGCCAUACGAAAACUGGAUGAAUGUUUCCCCUACGAAAACCGUAUGCUCCUUUAACACAGCAUCCAUGCUAAGAGAGAGAGAGAAAGAGAGAGAGACAGGCUGUGUGCGUGAGUGGGAUAGAGAGAUAGAGCAAUAAGGAGAGGCCUGGCCAGAGAUUCGGCGCACAGGGGCGGCUGCUGUAGAGUCAGCAGACAGCAGACAGCAGAGGGCUUAAACCGAGACGAGCCUUUUCAGUUGUAGUUGGAUAGUAAAGGGUCUUGGACGUGUUAUAUACAGCGUUCGCAAGCCAAACGACAACGCCAAGUGUAACGUCGCGAGAACGAAAUAAAAAUA
Long non-coding RNA from Drosophila innubila, 761 nucleotides. RefSeq lists it as uncharacterized. The transcript has 2 exons. The record is from RefSeq and is a predicted model, not a curated record. NCBI's taxonomy places the organism in Eukaryota, Metazoa, Arthropoda, Insecta, Diptera, Drosophilidae.